Non-coding RNA from Termitomyces sp. Mi166#008, 102 nucleotides. The record is from the annotation of a GenBank genome assembly. Lineage: Eukaryota; Fungi; Basidiomycota; Agaricomycetes; Agaricales; Lyophyllaceae.
GGCCCAAUGGUCUAGUAGUAUGAUACCUCCUUCGGGAUCUCAUCCCACUUGCGUCUGCAAGCGCAUUGGAGGUGGCCCCGGGUUCAAUUCCCGGUUGGGCCC